Molecule: ribosomal RNA, 586 nt
Filed under: uncultured bacterium
Lineage: Bacteria
Description: bacterial SSU rRNA
Rfam family: Bacterial small subunit ribosomal RNA
Source: RNAcentral
GAAAGGCGUGCUAAUACCGGAUGUGUUCCUUCGGGAAUAAAGGCGACCUCUGACAUAAGUUGCCGUAUAGAGAUGAGCCUGCGUACCAUUAGCUAGUAGGUGGGGUAAAGGCCUACCUAGGCGACGAUGGUUAGCGGGUCUGAGAGGAUGAUCCGCCACACUGGAACUGGAACACGGACCAGACUCCUACGGGAGGCAGUAGUGAGGAAUUUUGCGCAAUGGGCGAAAGCCUGACGCAGCGACGCCGCGUGGGUGAAGAAGGUCUUCGGAUCGUAAAACCCUGUCAGGUGGGAAGAAAUGUUUUGCGGUUAAUACCCGCAGGAUUUGACGGUACCAUCAAAGGAAGCACCGGCUAACUCCGUGCCAGCAGCCGCGGUAAUACGGAGGGUGCAAGCGUUGUUCGGAAUUACUGGGCGUAAAGGGCGCGCAGGCGGCCUAUCAAGUCAGGUGUGAAAGUCCACGGCUCAACCGUGGAAGUGCAUCUGAAACUGGUGGGCUUGAGUACUGGAAGGGGAAGUGGAAUUCCCGGUGUAGAGGUGAAAUUCGUAGAUAUCGGGAGGAAUACCGGUGGCGAAGGCGACUUCCU